GACGAACGCUGGCGGCGUGCCUAAUACAUGCAAGUCGAGCGAAGCGCCGGAUGGGUGAGUAACGCGUGGGUAACCUGCCCUUAAGUCUGGGAUAUCAUUUGGAAAUAGUUGCUAAUACUGGCAACUAAAGGACGGACCUUCGAUGCAUUAGCUAGUGGGUAAGGUAACGGCUUACCAAGGCGAUUAUGCAUAGCCGAGUUGAGAGACGGAGCGGCCACAUUGGGACUGAGACACGGCCCAAACUCCGACGGGAGGCAGCAGUGGGGAAUAUUGCACAAUGGGCGCAAGCCUGAUGCAGCCAUGCCGCGUGUAUGAAGAAGGCCUUCGGGUUGUAAAGUACUUUCAGCGAGGAGGCGUUACUCGCAGAAGAAGCACCGGCUAACUCCGUGCCAGCAGCCGCGGUAAUAC
RNAcentral lists this ribosomal RNA (408 nucleotides) under uncultured bacterium. Its description in RNAcentral is "partial 16S ribosomal RNA". It matches the Rfam family "Bacterial small subunit ribosomal RNA", at positions 28 to 526 of the family's 1533-position model. The record is from RNAcentral.